Molecule: ribosomal RNA, 252 nt
Filed under: uncultured prokaryote
Description: partial 16S rRNA
Rfam family: Archaeal small subunit ribosomal RNA
Source: RNAcentral
ACCGGCGGCUCGAGUGGUGGCCACUAUUACUGGGCUUAAAGCGUUCGUAGCUGGCUUGUUAAGUCUCUGGGGAAAUCUUCCGGCUCAACCGGAAGGCGUCUCAGGGAUACUGGCAGGCUAGGGACCGGAAGAGGUGAGAGGUACUCCAGGGGUAGGAGUGAAAUCGGGUGACCCUUGGGGGGCCACAUGUGGCGAAGGCGUCUCACCAGGACGGCUCCGACAGUGAGGACCGAAAUUUGGGGGAGCAAACCG